RNAcentral lists this ribosomal RNA (460 nucleotides) under uncultured Methylomirabilota bacterium. Its description in RNAcentral is "bacterial SSU rRNA". It matches the Rfam family "Bacterial small subunit ribosomal RNA", at positions 977 to 1434 of the family's 1533-position model. Lineage: Bacteria; Methylomirabilota (SeqCode). The record is from RNAcentral.
GGGCUUUACAUCCCACGAACCUGCCUGAAAGGGUAGGGUGCCCGCAAGGGAACGUGGAGACAGGUGGUGCAUGGCUGUCGUCAGCUCGUGUCGUGAGAUGUUGGGUUAAGUCCCGCAACGAGCGCAACCCUCACCCCUAGUUGCCACCGGGUAAAGCCGAGCACUCGAGGGGAACUGCCAGCGUCAAGCUGGAGGAAGGCGGGGAUGACGUCAAGUCAUCAUGCCCCUUUCGUCCUGGGCUACACACGUGCUACAAUGGCCAAUACAAGGGGAUGCGAGACCGCGAGGUGGAGCUAAUCCCAAAAAGUUGGUCUAAGUUCAGAUUGCAGUCUGCAAUUCGACUGCAUGAAGGAGGAAUCGCUAGUAAUCGCGCAUCAGCCCGGCGCGGUGAAUACGUUCCCGGGCCUUGUACACACGGCCCGUCACACCACGAAAGCUAACUGUACUCGGAGUCGCUGAG